AGAGUUUGAUCCUGGCUCAGAACGAACGCUGGCGGCGCGUCUUAAACAUGCAAGUCGAACGAUCUGUAGCAAUACAGGGAGUGGCGGACGGGUGAGGAACACGUAGGAAUCUACCUUGAAGAGCGGGACAACUUUGGAAACCGGGGCUAAUACCGCAUAGUACAGAGAUGUUAAAGGGCUAGCAAUAGUCGCUUCGAGAUGAGCCUGCGGUCUAUCAGCUUGUUGGUGAGGUAAUGGCUCACCAAGGCUACGACGGAUAGCCGGUCUGAGAGGAUGAUCGGCCACACUGGCACUGAGACACGGGCCAGACUCCUACGGGAGGCAGCAGUUAAGAAUCUUGCGCAAUGGGGGAAACCCUGACGCAGCGACGCCGCGUGAAGGAUGAAGGCUUUCGGGUUGUAAACUUCGGUAGACUGGGAAGAAGAAAUACGUUCGUUGAGGGCGUAUAGUGACGGUACCAGUCUGAAGCCCCGGCUAAUUACGUG
RNAcentral lists this ribosomal RNA (485 nucleotides) under uncultured bacterium. Its description in RNAcentral is "bacterial SSU rRNA". It matches the Rfam family "Bacterial small subunit ribosomal RNA", at positions 8 to 507 of the family's 1533-position model. The record is from RNAcentral.